UAGGGAAUCUUCGGCAAUGGGGGGAACCCUGACCGAGCAACGCCGCGUGAGUGAAGAAGGUUUCGGGUCGGAAAGCCCUGUUGGUAAGGAAAAACGGGGGGGAGAAUGGAAAGUUCAUACUGUGACGGUACUUAACCAGAAAGGGACGGCUAACUACGUGCCAGCAGCCGCGGUAAUACGUAGGGCCCGAGCGUUGUCCGGAUUUAUUGGGCGUAAAGCGAGCGCAGGCGGUUAGAUAAGUCUGAAGUUAAAGGCAGUGGCUCAACCAUUGUAGGCUUUGGAAACUGUUUAACUUGAGUGCAGAAGGGGAGAGUGGAAUUCCAUGUGUAGCGGUGAAAUGCGUAGAUAUAUGGAGGAACACCGGUGGCGAAAGCGGCUCUCUGGUCUGUAACUGACGCUGAGGCUCGAAAGCGUGGGGAGCGAACAGG
RNAcentral lists this ribosomal RNA (428 nucleotides) under Bacteroidota bacterium. RNAcentral's name for it is "Bacteroidetes bacterium partial 16S ribosomal RNA". It matches the Rfam family "Bacterial small subunit ribosomal RNA", at positions 355 to 776 of the family's 1533-position model. The record is from RNAcentral. Lineage: Bacteria; Pseudomonadati; Bacteroidota.